RNAcentral lists this ribosomal RNA (229 nucleotides) under uncultured bacterium. RNAcentral describes it as "partial 16S ribosomal RNA". It matches the Rfam family "Bacterial small subunit ribosomal RNA", at positions 568 to 796 of the family's 1533-position model. The record is from RNAcentral.
UCCGUAGGCGGGCGAUUAAGUCAGAGGUGAAAUCCCACAGCUCAACUGUGGAACUGCCUUUGAUACUGGUUGUCUUGAGUUACAGUGAAGUAGAUAGAAUAUGUAGUGUAGCGGUGAAAUGCAUAGAUAUUACAUAGAAUACCGAUUGCGAAGGCAGUCUACUAACUGUUAACUGACGCUAAGGGACGAAAGCGUGGGGAGCGAAUAGGAUUAGAUACCCUGGUAGUCC